RNAcentral lists this ribosomal RNA (253 nucleotides) under uncultured bacterium. Its description in RNAcentral is "partial 16S ribosomal RNA". It matches the Rfam family "Bacterial small subunit ribosomal RNA", at positions 524 to 776 of the family's 1533-position model. The record is from RNAcentral.
UACAUGGGGUGCAAACGUUGCUCGGAAUUAUUGGGCGUAAAGCGCGCGUAGGCGGUUACUUAAGUCGGAUGUGAAAGCCCUCGGCUUAACUGAGGAAGUGCACCCGAAACUGAGUAGCUAGAGUACGAAAGAGGGUCGCGGAAUUCCCGGUGUAGAGGUGAAAUUCGUAGAUAUCAGGAGGAACACCGGUGGCGAAGGCGGGUCUCUGGGCCGAUACUGACGCUGAGGAGCGAAAGCGUGGGGAGCGAACAGG